RNAcentral lists this ribosomal RNA (1453 nucleotides) under Marinobacter nauticus. RNAcentral describes it as "bacterial LSU rRNA". It matches the Rfam family "Bacterial large subunit ribosomal RNA", at positions 1 to 1504 of the family's 2925-position model. Lineage: Bacteria; Pseudomonadati; Pseudomonadota; Gammaproteobacteria; Pseudomonadales; Marinobacteraceae. The record is from RNAcentral.
GUUAUAUAGUCAAGCAACUAAGCGCAUACGGUGGAUGCCUUGGCAGUCAGAGGCGAUGAAAGACGUGGAAGCCUGCGAUAAGGUUCGGGGAGCUGGCAAACGAGCUGUGAUCCGGACAUCUCUGAAUGGGGAAACCCACCGACUUUCGGGUCGGUAUCUUGUACUGAAUCCAUAGGUGCAAGAGGCGAACCGGGGGAACUGAAACAUCUAAGUACCCCGAGGAAAAGAAAUCAACCGAGAUUCCCUAAGUAGCGGCGAGCGAACGGGGACCAGCCCUUAAGCUGGACAACUGGUAGGAGAAGGCUCUGGAAAGUGCCGCCAUAGUGGGUGAUAGCCCCGUAUCCGAAACCUGAGUCCAGUGAAAUCGAGUAGGUCGGCGCACGAGAAACGUUGACUGAACAUGGGGGGACCAUCCUCCAAGGCUAAAUACUCCUGACUGACCGAUAGUGAACCAGUACCGUGAGGGAAAGGCGAAAAGAACCCCUGUGAGGGGAGUGAAAUAGACCCUGAAACCGUAUGCGUACAAGCAGUCGGAGCAGACUUGUUCUGUGACGGCGUACCUUUUGUAUAAUGGGUCAGCGACUUAUGUUCAGUGGCGAGGUUAACCGUUUAGGGGAGCCGUAGGGAAACCGAGUCUGAAUAGGGCGAAUUAGUCGCUGGGCAUAGACCCGAAACCGGGCGAUCUAUCCAUGAGCAGGUUGAAGGUGCCGUAACAGGCACUGGAGGACCGAACCCACUGUCGUUGAAAAGCCAGGGGAUGACUUGUGGAUCGGAGUGAAAGGCUAAUCAAGCCCGGAGAUAGCUGGUUCUCCCCGAAAGCUAUUUAGGUAGCGCCUCGGACGAAUACCACAGGGGGUAGAGCACUGUUUCGGCUAGGGGGUCAUCUCGACUUACCAACCCGAUGCAAACUCCGAAUACCUGUGAGUACUAUCCGGGAGACACACGGCGGGUGCUAACGUCCGUCGUGAAGAGGGAAACAACCCAGACCGCCAGCUAAGGUCCCAAAGUACCAGUUAAGUGGGAAACGAUGUGGGAAGGCUCAGACAGCUAGGAGGUUGGCUUAGAAGCAGCCAUCCUUUAAAGAAAGCGUAAUAGCUCACUAGUCGAGUCGGCCUGCGCGGAAGAUGUAACGGGGCUCAAACUGGUCACCGAAGCUGCGGCUGCAUACAUUGUAUGCGGGGUAGGGGAGCGUUCUGUAAGCCUGCGAAGGUGUGUUGAGAAGCAUGCUGGAGGUAUCAGAAGUGCGAAUGCUGACAUGAGUAACGACAAUGCGGGUGAAAAACCCGCACGCCGGAAGACCAAGGGUUCCUGCGCAACGCUAAUCGGCGCAGGGUGAGUCGGCCCCUAAGGCGAGACCGAAAGGUGUAGUCGAUGGGAAACGGGUUAAUAUUCCCGUACCUUGGAUAGCUGCGAUGGAGAGACGGAGAAGGCUAGGUGAGCCGGGCGACGGUUG